This is a non-coding RNA of Xyrichtys novacula (pearly razorfish), 432 nucleotides long. Lineage: Eukaryota; Metazoa; Chordata; Actinopteri; Labriformes; Labridae. The record is from the annotation of a GenBank genome assembly.
GUCAGGCAGGAGUGUGUCCUGAGGGUGGCAGUGGGGGUGCCGCCCACCUUAAAAUCUGAUUGGCCACCCUGAAAUCCUAAACUGUGAUUGGCUGUUUUGCUCGUCAAAGGUAGGAUUUUUUUCUUAAGUUCAUCUGUAGUCAGGAUGUGAUAUCAGACUGUCAGUAGUUUUCUUUGUAUUUGAAUUAUUUGUCUUUAAUUCAGCGUUGAUGUCGGAUAAACAUCAUUCUCCAUCCAUCCAUUUUCUACUACUUAUUCCUGUUAGGGGUCGCGGAGGGGCUGUAGCCUGUCCCAGCAUCUCCGGGCGAAGGCAGGGGACACCCUGGACAAGUCGCCAGUUCAUCGCAGGGCUGUCAUACAGAGACGAACAACCAUCCACGCUCACAUUCACACCUACGGGCAAUUUAAAGGUGGCCAAUCAUCCUAACCCCAU